UGGGGAAUAUUGGACAAUGGGCGAAAGCCUGAUCCAGCCAUGCCGCGUGUGUGAAGAAGGUCUUCGGAUUGUAAAGCACUUUAAGUUGGGAGGAAGGGCAGUAAGCGAAUACCUUGCUGUUUUGACGUUACCGACAGAAUAAGCACCGGCUAACUCUGUGCCAGCAGCCGCGGUAAUACAGAGGGUGCAAGCGUUAAUCGGAAUUACUGGGCGUAAAGCGCGCGUAGGUGGUUCGUUAAGUUGAAUGUGAAAGCCCCGGGCUCAACCUGGGAACGGCAUCCAAAGCUGGCGAGCUAGAGUAGGGCAGAGGGUGGUGGAAUUUCCUGUGUAGCGGUGAAAUGCGUAGAUAUAGGAAGGAACACCAGUGGCGAAAGCGACCACCUGGGCUCAUACUGACACUGAGGUGCGAAAGCGUGGGGAGCAAACAGG
This 429-nucleotide ribosomal RNA is filed under the name Pseudomonadota bacterium. RNAcentral describes it as "Proteobacteria bacterium partial 16S ribosomal RNA". It matches the Rfam family "Bacterial small subunit ribosomal RNA", at positions 355 to 776 of the family's 1533-position model. Lineage: Bacteria; Pseudomonadati; Pseudomonadota. The record is from RNAcentral.